This 460-nucleotide ribosomal RNA is filed under the name uncultured bacterium. RNAcentral describes it as "partial 16S ribosomal RNA". It matches the Rfam family "Bacterial small subunit ribosomal RNA", at positions 338 to 795 of the family's 1533-position model. The record is from RNAcentral.
CCUACGGGAGGCAGCAGUGAGGAAUAUUGGUCAAUGGACGCAAGUCUGAACCAGCCAUGCCGCGUGCAGGAAGACGGCUCUAUGAGUUGUAAACUGCUUUUGUACGAGGGUAAACGCAGAUACGUGUAUCUGUCUGAAAGUAUCGUACGAAUAAGGAUCGGCUAACUCCGUGCCAGCAGCCGCGGUAAUACGGAGGAUUCAAGCGUUAUCCGGAUUUAUUGGGUUUAAAGGGUGCGUAGGCGGUCGGAUAAGUUAGAGGUGAAAUCCCGAGGCUCAACUUCGGAAUUGCAUCUGAUACUGUUCGGCUAGAGAGUAGUUGAGGUAGGCGGAAUGUAUGGUGUAGCGGUGAAAUGCUUAGAGAUCAUACAGAACACCGAUUGCGAAGGCAGCUUACCAGGCUACAUCUGACGUUGAGGCACGAAAGCGUGGGGAGCGAACAGGAUUAGAUACCCGAGUAGUC